RNAcentral lists this transfer RNA (85 nucleotides) under Saprospiraceae bacterium. RNAcentral's name for it is "tRNA-Leu". It matches the Rfam family "tRNA". From Rfam's summary of the family: Transfer RNA (tRNA) molecules are approximately 80 nucleotides in length. Their secondary structure includes four short double-helical elements and three loops (D, anti-codon, and T loops). Further hydrogen bonds mediate the characteristic L-shaped molecular structure. tRNAs have two regions of fundamental functional importance: the anti-codon, which is responsible for specific mRNA codon recognition, and the 3' end, to which the tRNAs corresponding amino acid is attached (by aminoacyl-tRNA synthetases). tRNAs cope with the degeneracy of the genetic code in two manners: having more than one tRNA (with a specific anti-codon) for a particular amino acid; and 'wobble' base-pairing, i.e. permitting non-standard base-pairing at the 3rd anti-codon position. Lineage: Bacteria; Pseudomonadati; Bacteroidota; Saprospiria; Saprospirales; Saprospiraceae. The record is from RNAcentral.
GCCCGGGUGGUGGAACUGGUAGACACGCAGGACUUAAAAUCCUGUGGCUUUUGCGGCCGUGCCGGUUCGAUUCCGGCUCCGGGUA